UCUCCAAAUCAGUCCCAAAUUCGUGUUAAUUCAGAAGGUUCGAGUAGAUUCAUACUCUUGCACAAAAGACUAGGUGCUCCAAGCUAAAUCACCCACCAAACUUACUCUCGGAACUUCAAGUCAAGACUUGUAAACCGUUAAUUGUUGAAGUAUGGACUAAAGAUGAAACGAGAUUUAGGCUAUGUUGUUAUUUCUAUUUGA
Molecule: long non-coding RNA, 201 nt
Filed under: Helianthus annuus (common sunflower)
Lineage: Eukaryota; Viridiplantae; Streptophyta; Magnoliopsida; Asterales; Asteraceae
Description: sRNA HanXRQr2_Chr14g0622181
Source: RNAcentral